Molecule: ribosomal RNA, 490 nt
Filed under: uncultured bacterium
Lineage: Bacteria
Description: partial 16S ribosomal RNA
Rfam family: Bacterial small subunit ribosomal RNA
Source: RNAcentral
AUUGAACGCUGGCGGCAGGCCUAACACAUGCCAGUCGAACGGUAGCACAGGGGAGCUUGGCUCUUGGGUGUGGAGCGGGGGGGGGGGGUGAGGUAUAUAGGGAACUGCACGUUGGAGGGGGGUAUAAAGUGGAAAAGGUUGCUCUUACCGCAUAUCGGACCUAGGUGUAAGAGCGGGAGAUUUGGGCCUCUUGCGAUAAGGUAUGCGCCGAUGGGAGUAGCUAGUAGGUGGGGGAAUGGCACCCCUAGGCGACGAUCUCUAGCUGGUCUGAGAGGAUGACCAGCCACACUGGAACUGAGACACGGUCCAGACUCCUACGGGAGGCAGCAGUGGGGAAUAUUGGACAAUGGGCGCAAGCCUGAUCCAGCCAUACCGCGUGAGUGAAGAAGGCCUUCGGGUUGUAAAGCACUUUUGUCGGGAAGGAAGGACAGCAGGUUAAUACGUUCAUGUAAUGACGUUACCCGAAGAAUAAGCACCGGCUAACUCCGUG